CACUCCUACGGGAGGCAGCAGUGGGGAAUAUUGGACAAUGGGCGCAAGCCUGAUCCAGCCAUGCCGCGUGAGUGAUGAAGGCCCUAGGGUUGUAAAGCUCUUUCACCGGUGAAGAUAAUGACGGUAACCGGAGAAGAAGCCCGGCUAACUUCGUGCCAGCAGCCGCGGUAAUACGAAGGGGGCUAGCGUUGUUCGGAUUUACUGGGCGUAAAGCGCACGUAGGCGGACUAUUAAGUCAGGGGUGAAAUCCCGGGGCUCAACCCCGGAACUGCCUUUGAUACUGGUAGUCUUGAGUUCGAGAGAGGUGAGUGGAAUUCCGAGUGUAGAGGUGAAAUUCGUAGAUAUUCGGAGGAACACCAGUGGCGAAGGCGGCUCACUGGCUCGAUACUGACGCUGAGGUGCGAAAGCGUGGGGAGCAAACAGGAUUAGAUACCCGGGUAGUCC
This 444-nucleotide ribosomal RNA is filed under the name uncultured organism. Its description in RNAcentral is "partial 16S ribosomal RNA". It matches the Rfam family "Bacterial small subunit ribosomal RNA", at positions 334 to 796 of the family's 1533-position model. The record is from RNAcentral.